Molecule: transfer RNA, 62 nt
Filed under: Xya japonica
Lineage: Eukaryota; Metazoa; Arthropoda; Insecta; Orthoptera; Tridactylidae
Also listed under: 2 other names
Description: tRNA-Leu
Source: RNAcentral
ACUAUUUUGGCAGAUUAGUGCCUUAAAUUUAGAAUUUAAAUAAGUGAAUUUCACAAAUAGUA